CAGUGCCAUUUCAUGGGCUGAUGAUGCUAAGAGAAAAUGGAUGUUAGCUGAAUUUUUGAGGCAAAUAUUCCACAGAGGCAGAUCUGAGGAUGGGACCCUCA
Suricata suricatta (meerkat) is the source of this 101-nucleotide long non-coding RNA. RefSeq lists it as uncharacterized. Lineage: Eukaryota; Metazoa; Chordata; Mammalia; Carnivora; Herpestidae. The record is from RefSeq and is a predicted model, not a curated record. The transcript is spliced from 3 exons.